This 122-nucleotide ribosomal RNA is filed under the name Geobacter sp. enrichment culture. RNAcentral describes it as "partial 16S ribosomal RNA". It matches the Rfam family "Bacterial small subunit ribosomal RNA", at positions 373 to 487 of the family's 1533-position model. Lineage: Bacteria; Pseudomonadati; Thermodesulfobacteriota; Desulfuromonadia; Geobacterales; Geobacteraceae. The record is from RNAcentral.
GGGCGGAACCCUGACGCAGCAACGCCGCGUGAGUGAUGAAGGCCUUCGGGUCGUAAAGCUCUGUCAGAGGGGAAGAAAUGCGGUGGGGUUAAUACCGUACUUGUUUGAGGGUCCCUCCAAAG